This 450-nucleotide ribosomal RNA is filed under the name uncultured bacterium. Its description in RNAcentral is "partial 16S ribosomal RNA". It matches the Rfam family "Bacterial small subunit ribosomal RNA", at positions 354 to 796 of the family's 1533-position model. The record is from RNAcentral.
GUGGGGAAUAUUGGACAAUGGGCGAAAGCCUGAUCCAGCCAUGCCGCGUGUGUGAAGAAGGUCUUCGGAUUGUAAAGCACUUUAAGUUGGGAGGAAGGGCAGUAAGUUAAUACCUUGCUGUUUUGACGUUACCGACAGAAUAAGCACCGGCUAACUUCGUGCCAGCAGCCGCGGUAAUACGAAGGGUGCAAGCGUUCAUCGGAAUUACUGGGCGUAAAGCGCGCGUAGGUGGUUUUGUAAGUUGGAGGUGAAAUCCCCGGGCUAAACCUGGAGACUGCCUCCAAAACUGCAUGACUAGAGUACGGUAGAGGGUAGUGGAAUUUCCUGUGUAGCGGUGAAAUGCGUAGAUAUAGGAAGGAACACCAGUGGCGAAGGCGACUACCUGGACUGAUACUGACACUGAGGUGCGAAAGCGUGGGGAGCAAACAGGAUUAGAAACCCUAGUAGUCC